AAUGAACGCUGGCGGCAUGCCUAAUACAUGCAAGUCGAACGGCCGAACGGUAAGCGUUCUUCUCUAAUGUUGGCGGCGGGCGGGUGAGUAACGCGUGGAUAACCUACCUAUAAGACUGGGGUGACUACGGAAAACCGGAUACAAUACCGGAUCAUAUUUUGAACGGGAGGGUUCAAAAGUGAAUGACGGUCUUGGUGUCACUUAUAGACGGAUCCGCGCUGGAUUAGCUAGUUGGUAAGGUAACGGCUUACCAAGGCAACGAUGCGUAGCCGAGCUGAGAGGGUGAUCGGCCACACUGGAACUGAGACACGGUCCAGACUCCUACGGGAGGCAGCAGUGGGGAAUCUUCCGCAAUGGGCGCAAGCCUGACCCAGCAAUGCCGCGUGAGUGAUGAAGGCCUUCGGAUCGUAAAGCUCUGUUAUUAGGAAAGAACAUAUGCGUGUGUAACUGUGGCCAUCUUGACGGUACCUAAUGAGUAAGCCACGGCUAACUACGUG
This 497-nucleotide ribosomal RNA is filed under the name uncultured bacterium. RNAcentral describes it as "partial 16S ribosomal RNA". It matches the Rfam family "Bacterial small subunit ribosomal RNA", at positions 29 to 507 of the family's 1533-position model. The record is from RNAcentral.